Small nuclear RNA from Echinops telfairi (small Madagascar hedgehog), 164 nucleotides. Its record names the gene U1. It matches the Rfam family "U1 spliceosomal RNA". Rfam says of the family: U1 is a small nuclear RNA (snRNA) component of the spliceosome (involved in pre-mRNA splicing). Its 5' end forms complementary base pairs with the 5' splice junction, thus defining the 5' donor site of an intron. NCBI's taxonomy places the organism in Eukaryota, Metazoa, Chordata, Mammalia, Afrosoricida, Tenrecidae. The record is from Ensembl.
AUACUUUACCUGGAAGGAGAGACAGCAUGAUCAGGAAGUGGUUUUCCCAGGGCGAGGCUCACCCAUUGCACUGCGGCUGUGCUGACACCGGUGCUUUCCCCAAAUAUGGGACACUUGAUUGCAUAAUUUGUGGUAGUGGGGGACUGCGUUGGCGCUCUCCCCUG